This 625-nucleotide long non-coding RNA is filed under the name Vigna radiata. RNAcentral describes it as "long non-coding RNA (VRAD_LNC014576)". Lineage: Eukaryota; Viridiplantae; Streptophyta; Magnoliopsida; Fabales; Fabaceae. The record is from RNAcentral.
AUGAUUUAAAUAAGACCUUAUGCUUAUUUUAAAAGAAUUUACUUGAAAACUUUGAAGGUCUACUCCACUAAAUUGUUUGUGUUUACUUUGAGUUAAUUAUAUCCUAAAAGGUAACAUCAACUCAAAGUUUGAUUUGGAAAAAUUUGAGGAGUUAAAAAUUGUGGGAGGUGAAAAAGAAGUUGAAAAAAAUGAAGUUAUGAAAGAUGGUUGGAUGUAUUGAGAAAAGUUCAAGGAUUGGAAAACUCCCCUCAUCAUCUUAGUCUCAACCUUAAUUGUGGGAGUGCUAGGGUGAUUUAGUAACUCUUUCUCUUCUUCUUUUUUUUAUCUCAAUCUCUUCCUUUUGUCUCUUUUCUUUAUCAUUCCUUUCUUUUAUCUUUUUCUCUUCAUACUCUCUUCUUCUUUCCUCUUACUUUUUCUCUCUUCUUACUUUCUCCUCUUUCUCUCUUUCUUCUUUCUCUCUUUUCUCAUGAUCCUCUUUCUAUCUUUGUUCUUUCUUCCUUCUUUUGUCUUCCUCUCUUCUACUCUUUAUCUUCCUUAAAUCCUUUUGGACUUUUUCUUGUUUUUCAUUAAGAAUACUAAGCUCUUCUUCCAACUUAUCAAGAUACUCUUCUCUUUCAAUUCUUUC